UCCGUAGCCAUUUUGGCUCAAG
Molecule: non-coding RNA, 22 nt
Filed under: Alexandrium fundyense
Lineage: Eukaryota; Dinophyceae; Gonyaulacales; Pyrocystaceae
Also listed under: 9 other names
Source: RNAcentral